RNAcentral lists this ribosomal RNA (792 nucleotides) under uncultured archaeon. Its description in RNAcentral is "bacterial SSU rRNA". It matches the Rfam family "Archaeal small subunit ribosomal RNA", at positions 85 to 879 of the family's 1478-position model. The record is from RNAcentral.
ACGGCUCAGUAACACGUGGACAACCUACCCUAUGGUGGGGGAUAACCCCGGGAAACUGGGGAUAAUACCCUAUAGACUAUGGAUGCUGGAAUGCUUUGUAGUCGAAAGGUCCGCCGCCGUAGGAUGGGUCUGCGGCCGAUUAGGUUGUUGUUGGGGUAACGGCCCAACAAGCCUGUAAUCGGUACGGGUUGUGAGAGCAAGAGCCCGGAGAUGGAUUCUGAGACACGAAUCCAGGUCCUACGGGGCGCAGCAGGCGCGAAAACUUUACACUGCGCGAAAGCGCGAUAAGGGGACCUCGAGUGCGUGCGCAAUGCGUACGCUUUUCAGAUGCCUAAAAAGCAUCUGGAAUAAGGGCCGGGCAAGACCGGUGCCAGCCGCCGCGGUAACACCGGCGGCUCAAGUGGUGGCCGCUAUUAUUGGGCUUAAAGGGUCCGUAGCCGGACCAGUUAGUCCCUUGGGAAAUCUUACGGCUUAACCGUAAGGCUGCCAAUGGAUACUGCUGGUCUUGGGACCGGGAGAGGCAAGAGGUACCUCAGGGGUAGGAGUGAAAUCCUGUAAUCCUUGAGGGACCGCCAGUGGCGAAGGCGUCUUGCUAGAACGGGUCCGACGGUGAGGGACGAAAGCUAGGGGCACGAACCGGAUUAGAUACCCGGGUAGUCCUAGCCGUAAACGAUACUCGCUAGGUGUCGGCCACGGUGCGACCGUUGUCGGUGCCGUAGGGAAGCCGUGAAGCGAGCCACCUGGGAAGUACGGCCGCAAGGCUGAAACUUAAAGGAAUUGGCGGGGGAGCAC